RNAcentral lists this ribosomal RNA (454 nucleotides) under uncultured bacterium. Its description in RNAcentral is "partial 16S ribosomal RNA". It matches the Rfam family "Bacterial small subunit ribosomal RNA", at positions 28 to 507 of the family's 1533-position model. The record is from RNAcentral.
GAUGAACGCUGACAGCAUGCUUAACACAUGCAAGUCAACUUGAACUUCGGUUUGGGUGGCGGACGGGUGAGUAACGCGUAAAGAACUUGCCUCACAGCUAGGGACAACUUUUGGAAACGAAUGCUAAUACCUGAUAUUAUGAUUAUAUGGCAUAGUAUAUUUAUGAAAGCUAUAUGCGCUGUGAGAGAGCUUUGCGUCCCAUUAGCUAGUUGGAGAGGUAACAGCUCACCAAGGCGAUGAUGGGUAGCCGGCCGGAGAGGGUGAUCGGCCACAAGGGGACUGGGACACGGCCCUUACUCCAACGGAGGGCAGCGGUGGGGAAUAUUGGACAAGGGACCGAGAGUCUGAUCCAGCAAUUCUGUGUGCACGAUGAAGUUUUUCGGAAUGUAAAGUGCUUUCAGUUGGGAAGAAAAAAAUGACGGUACCAACAGAAGAAGUGACGGCUAAAUACGUG